Molecule: ribosomal RNA, 253 nt
Filed under: uncultured bacterium
Lineage: Bacteria
Description: partial 16S ribosomal RNA
Rfam family: Bacterial small subunit ribosomal RNA
Source: RNAcentral
UACAGAGGGUGCAAGCGUUAAUCGGAAUUACUGGGCGUAAAGCGCAUGUAGGUGGUUGAAUAAGUUUGAUGUGAAAGCCCUGGGCUUAACCUGGGAACUGCGUUGAAUACUGUUUAACUUGAGUCGGACAGAGGGCUGUGGAAUUUCCGGUGUAGCGGUGAAAUGCGUAGAGAUCGGAAAGAACACCAGUGGCGAAGGCGGCAGCCUGGGUCCAGACUGACACUGAGGUGCGAAAGCGUGGGGAGCAAACAGG